RNAcentral lists this long non-coding RNA (1099 nucleotides) under Nicotiana tabacum (common tobacco). Its description in RNAcentral is "long non-coding RNA (NTAB_LNC015661)". Lineage: Eukaryota; Viridiplantae; Streptophyta; Magnoliopsida; Solanales; Solanaceae. The record is from RNAcentral.
AGUUUUGGCAAUCAGGCGCCCACCUGGAGAACAAGGGAAUACAGUUAAAGUUUCGGCAAUCAGGCGCCCACCUGGAGAACAAGAGAAUAUAAUUCAAGUUUUGGCAAUCAGGUGCCUACCUGGAGAACAAAGGAAUACAGUUAAAGUUUUGGCAAUCAGGCGCCCACCUGGAGAACGAACGAAUACAGUUCAAGUUUUGGCAAUCAGGCACCCACUUGGAGAACAAGAGAAUAGAGGUCAUGUUUUGGCAAUCAGGCGCCCACCUAGAGGAGAACAAGGGAAUACAAUUAAAGUUUUGGCAAUCAUGCGCCCACUUGGAGAACAAGGGAAUACAAUUCAAGUUUUGGCAAUCAGGCGCCCACCUGGAGAACAAGGGAAUACAGUUCAUGUUUUGGCAAUUAAGCACAAACCUGGAGAACAAGGGAUUACAGUUCAAGUUUGGCAAUCAGGCACCAACCUGGAGAAUAAGGGAAUACAGUUCAAGUUUGGGUAAUCAGGCGCCCACAUGGAGAAUAAGGGAAUACAGUUCAAGUUUUUGCAAUCAGGCACCCACCAGGAGAACAAGGAAAUGCAGUUCAAGUUUUGGCAAUCAGGCGCCCACCUGGAGAACAAGGGAAUACAGUUAAAGUUUCGGCAAUCAGGCGCCCACCUGGAGAACAAGAGAAUACAAUUCAUGUUUUGGCAAUCGGGUGCCCACCUAAAGAACAAGGGAAUACAAUUAAAGUUUUGGCAAUCAGGCGCCCACCUAAAGAUCAAGGGAAUACAAUUAAAGUUUUAACAAUCAGGCGCCCACCUGGAGAACAAGGGAAUACAGUUAAAGUUUCGGCAAUCACGCGCCGACCUGGAGAACAAGGGAAUACAGUUAAAGUUUCGGCAAUCAGGCGCCCACCUGGAGAACAAGAGAAUACAAUUCAAGUUUUGGCAAUCAGGUGCCCACCUAAAGAACAAGGGAAUACAUUUAAAGUUUUGGCAAUCAGGCGCCCACCUGGAGAACAAGGGAAUAUAGUUCAAGUUUUGGCAAUUAGGCGCCUACCUGGAGAAAAGGGAAUACAGUUCAAGUUUUGGCAAUCAGGCGCCCACCUGGAGAACAAGGGAAUAC